This 468-nucleotide ribosomal RNA is filed under the name uncultured bacterium. RNAcentral's name for it is "partial 16S ribosomal RNA". It matches the Rfam family "Bacterial small subunit ribosomal RNA", at positions 28 to 507 of the family's 1533-position model. The record is from RNAcentral.
GACGAACGCUGGCGGCGUGCUUAACACAUGCCAGUCGAACGGAAAGGCCCUGCUUUUGUGGGGUGCUCGAGUGGCGAACGGGUGAGUAACACGUGAGUAACCUGCCCUUGACUUUGGGAUAACUUCAGGAAACUGGGGCUAAUACCGGAUAGGAGCUCCUGCUGCAUGGUGGGGGUUGGAAAGUUUCGGCGGUUGGGGAUGGACUCGCGGCUUAUCAGCUUGUUGGUGGGGUAGUGGCUUACCAAGGCUUUGACGGGUAGCCGGCCUGAGAGGGUGACCGGCCACAUUGGGACUGAGAUACGGCCCAGACUCCUACGGGAGGCAGCAGUGGGGAAUAUUGCACAGUGGGCGGAAGCCUGAUGCAGCAACGCCGCGUGCGGGAUGACGGCCUUCGGGUUGUAAACCGCUUUCGCCUGUGACGAAGCGUGAGUGACGGUAAUGGGUAAAGAAGCACCGGCUAACUACGUG